GUCCACACCGUAAACGUUGGGCGCUAGGUGUGGGAUCCAUUCCACGGGUUCCGUGCCGCAGCUAACGCAUUAAGCGCCCCGCCUGGGGAGUACGGCCGCAAGGCUAAAACUCAAAGGAAUUGACGGGGGCCCGCACAAGCGGCGGAGCAUGCGGAUUAAUUCGAUGCAACGCGAAGAACCUUACCUGGGUUUGACAUAUGCCGGAAAGCGCCAGAGAUGGUGCCCCUUUUUGUCGGUAUACAGGUGGUGCAUGGCUGUCGU
RNAcentral lists this ribosomal RNA (261 nucleotides) under uncultured bacterium. RNAcentral describes it as "partial 16S ribosomal RNA". It matches the Rfam family "Bacterial small subunit ribosomal RNA", at positions 793 to 1055 of the family's 1533-position model. The record is from RNAcentral.